Molecule: ribosomal RNA, 616 nt
Filed under: uncultured cyanobacterium
Lineage: Bacteria; Bacillati; Cyanobacteriota
Description: bacterial SSU rRNA
Rfam family: Bacterial small subunit ribosomal RNA
Source: RNAcentral
GAAUCUGCCUUCUGGUCGGGGACAACCACUGGAAACGGUGGCUAAUACCGGAUGAGCCGAAGGGUAAAAGAUUAAUUGCCAGAAGAGGAGCUCGCGUCUGAUUAGCUAGUUGGUGGGGUAAAAGCCUGCCAAGGCAUCGAUCAGUAGCUGGUCUGAGAGGACGAUCAGCCACACUGGGACUGAGACACGGCCCAGACUCCUACGGGAGGCAGCAGUGGGGAAUUUUCCGCAAUGGGCGAAAGCCUGACGGAGCAAGACCGCGUGAGGGAAGAAGGCUCUUGGGUCGUAAACCUCUUUUGUCAGGGAAGAACACAAUGACGGUACCUGACGAAUCAGCCUCGGCUAACUCCGUGCCAGCAGCCGCGGUAAUACGGAGGAGGCAAGCGUUAUCCGGAAUUAUUGGGCGUAAAGCGUCCGCAGGUGGCGAUUCAAGUCUGCGGUCAAAGACUGGGGCUUAACCCUGGAAAGGCCGUGGAAACUGAAAAGCUAGAGUGCAGUAGGGGUAGAGGGAAUUCCCGGUGUAGCGGUGAAAUGCGUAGAGCUCGGGAAGAACAUCGGUGGCGAAAGCGCUCUGCUGGACUGCAACUGACACUCAGGGACGAAAGCUAGGGGAGCG